GAAAGCAAAGAAGGGCAUAUGGGGGAUGCCUUGGCUCUCGGAGGCGAUGAAGGACGUGAUAAGCUGCGAUAAGCUGCGGUUAGAGGCAAAUGCUCUGUGAUCCGCAGAUUUCCGAAUGGGGGAACCCAACAGGUCUCGAACCUGUUACACGCAAAGCGUGGGCGAACGUGGGGAACUGAAACAUCUAAGUACCCAUAGGAAGAGAAAAUAACAAUGAUUCCGCCAGUAGUGGCGAGCGAACGCGGAAGAGCCCAAACCGCAGGUGUGGCGACGCAUCAUGCGGGGUUAUAGGACCGGCGCCGCGAAGCGGCAAGUCUGUAGCAGAACCGUCUGGAAAGUCGGACCGUAGCGGGUGACAGUCCCGUACGCGAAACGGACGCGCCAAUUCAAGCCGGCACCUGAGUAACCCGGAGCACGAGAAAUUCCGGGCGAAUUAUCGGGGACCAUCCCGAAAGGCUAAAUACUACCGAGAGACCGAUAGUGGACCAGUACCGUGAGGGAAAGGUGAAAAGAACCUCGAACAGAGGAGUGCAACAGACCCUGAAACCAUAUGCCUACAAGCGGUUGGAGCGGCUCCGUGCCGUGACAGCGUGCCUUUUGCAUAAUGAACCUACGAGUCACCGUCGUUGGCGAGGUUAACGGCAAGGAUGCCGGGAGCCGAAGCGAAAGCGAGUCCGAAGAGGGCGUCUAGUCAGCGGAGGUGGACGCGAAACCAAGUGAUCUACCCUUGGGCAGGUUGAAGGACAGGUAAAACUGUCUGGAGGACCGAACCGGUAAGCGUUGAAAAGCUUUCGGAUGACCUGAGGGUAGGAGUGAAAGGCCAAUCAAACUUGGAGAUAGCUCGUACUCCCCGAAAUGUAUUUAGGUGCAGCCUCGGGCGUUAUCUGACGGAGGUAGAGCGACUGAUAGGAUGCGAGGGCUUCACCGCCUAUCAAGUCCUGACAAACUCCGAAUGCCGUCAGAAGAACCCCGGGAGUAAGGGCGCGGGUGCUAAGGUCCGCGUCCGAGAGAGGAACAACUCAGACCACCGGCUAAGGUCCCGAAAUCCGGGCUAAGUUGAAGACAAUAACGAGGUGGGAUUGCAUAGACAGCUAGGAUGUUGGCUUGGAAGCAGCCAUUCAUUUAAAGAGUGCGUAACAGCUCACUAGUCGAGUGAUCCCGCGUGGAUAAUAAUCGGGCAUAAGUCCGGUACCGAAGCCGUGGAAUCAUGCUUAAUGUAUGAUUGGUAGGGGAGCAUUCCAUUCGCCGUCGAAGGUACGCCGCGAGACGUGCUGGAGGUCAUGGAAAAGCAAAUGUAGGUAUAAGUAACGAUAAUGGAGGCGAGAAACCUCCACGCCGCAAGACCAAGGUUUCCUGAUCAACGCUAAUCGGAUCAGGGUAAGUCGGGACCUAAGGGGCAGCCGCAAGGCGUACCCGAUGGAAGAAACGGUCAAGAUUCCGUUACUGUGUUUGAGAGUGAAGCGGGGACGGAGAAGUGAAACGUCCGCGGACUGACGGAAUAGUCCGUUAAAGGGUGUAGAUAUACGCUGUGCAGGCAAAUCCGCACGGAGUGUCGAACCUGACAGUACCGGGCGCCUUCGGGCAACCGGAUAGUGACGGUAACCAGACUCCCAAGAAAAUCCGCUAAACUUAUCUCAAAUGCACCCGUACCGAAACGGACACACGUGGUCGGGUAGAAUAUACUAAGGCGCUCGAGAGAUUCACCGUUAAGGAACUAGGCAAAUUGACUCCGUAACUUCGGGAUAAGGGGUCCCACCGCAGGGUGGGCGCAGAGAAUAGGUCCAGGCAACUGUUUAACAAAAACACAGGGCUGUGCAAAAUUUAAAGAUGAAGUAUACAGCCUGACACCUGCCCGGUGCCGGAAGGUUAAGAGGAGAAGUCAUCGCAAGAGAAGCUUUGAAUUGAAGCCCCGGUAAACGGCGGCCGUAACUAUAACGGUCCUAAGGUAGCGAAAUUCCUUGUCGGGUAAGUUC
Molecule: ribosomal RNA, 1973 nt
Filed under: human gut metagenome
Description: bacterial LSU rRNA
Rfam family: Bacterial large subunit ribosomal RNA
Source: RNAcentral